Molecule: ribosomal RNA, 248 nt
Filed under: uncultured bacterium
Lineage: Bacteria
Description: partial 16S ribosomal RNA
Rfam family: Bacterial small subunit ribosomal RNA
Source: RNAcentral
UACGAAGGGGGCUAGCGUUGCUCGGAAUACUGGGCGUAAGCGUGCGCAGGCGGUGAUGUAAGACAGUUGUGAAAUCCCCGGGCUCAACCUGGGAACUGCAUCUGUGACUGCAUCGCUGGAGUGCGGCAGAGGGGGAUGGAAUUCCGCGUGUAGCAGUGAAAUGCGUAGAUAUGCGGAGGAACACCGAUGGCGAAGGCAAUCCCCUGGGCCUGCACUGACGCUCAUGCACGAAAGCGUGGGAGCAACAG